GAUGAACGCUGGCGGCGUGCCUAAUACAUGCAAGUCGAGCGAACAGACGAGGAGCUUGCUCCUCUGACGUUAGCGGCGGACGGGUGAGUAACACGUGGAUAACCUACCUAUAAGACUGGGAUAACUUCGGGAAACCGGAGCUAAUACCGGAUAAUAUAUUGAACCGCAUGGUUCAAUAGUUAAAGACGGUUUUGCUGUCACUUAUAGAUUGAUCCGCGCCGCAUUAGCUAGUUGGUAAGGUAACGGCUUACCAAGGCGACGAUGCGUAGCCGACCUGAGAGGGUGAUCGGCCACACUGGAACUGAGACACGGUCCAGACUCCUACGGGAGGCAGCAGUAGGGAAUCUUCCGCAAUGGGCGAAAGCCUGACGGAGCAACGCCGCGUGAGUGAUGAAGGUCUUCGGAUCGUAAAACUCUGUUAUUAGGGAAGAACAAAUGUGUAAGUAACUAUGCACGUCUUGACGGUACCUAAUCAGAAAGCCACGGCUAACUACGUG
Molecule: ribosomal RNA, 497 nt
Filed under: uncultured bacterium
Lineage: Bacteria
Description: partial 16S ribosomal RNA
Rfam family: Bacterial small subunit ribosomal RNA
Source: RNAcentral